CGCCUGUUUAACAAAAACAUCGCCUCUUGCCCCACUUGUAUAAGAGGUCCAGCCUGCCCUGUGAUUUUUUUAACGGCCGCGGUAUCUUGACCGUGCGAAGGUAGCGUAAUCAACUGUUUUUUAAUUAAAGGCCCGUAUGAAUGGCAUCACGAGAGUUUAUCUGUCUCUAUUUUCCAAUCAAUGAAAUUGAUCUGCUCGUGCAGAAGCGAGCAUUACAACAUAAGACGAGAAGACCCUAUGGAGCUUUAAACACUUAAGUUAAUCUCAAACUUAACCCACCCCUCCGGGCAUAAACACGAAAUUGACCCUCCUAACUUAACUUGUUUUUGGUUGGGGCGACCAAGGGGAAAAACAGAACCCCCUUAUCGAACAUGUAUUAUCUUACUUAAUAUUAGAAUGACAUUUCUAAUUAAUAGAAAAUCUAACGAAUAAUGACCCAGAAAAGAUUUUUUUCUGAACAAUGAACCAAGUUACCCUAGGGAUAACAGCGCAAUCCUUUCUUAGAGCCCACAUCACCGAAAGGGUUUACGACCUCGAUGUUGGAUCAGGACAUCCUAAUGGUGCAGCCGCUAUUAAGGGUUCGUUUGUUCAACGAUUAACAGUCCUACAUGAUCUGAGUUCAGACCGG
This 628-nucleotide ribosomal RNA is filed under the name Gymnura poecilura (longtail butterfly ray). Its description in RNAcentral is "partial 16S ribosomal RNA". It matches the Rfam family "Bacterial large subunit ribosomal RNA", at positions 1797 to 2619 of the family's 2925-position model. Lineage: Eukaryota; Metazoa; Chordata; Chondrichthyes; Myliobatiformes; Gymnuridae. The record is from RNAcentral.